ACAAUGCAGCAAGAUGAAAUGUGACUGACAGUAAAAGGGGGAGAGCAUACACAAACAGAUGAGAGCAUUAAAAUGGAUAGGAAGAAGAGCCACAAAGGAAAGAAAUUUAGUAAAAAAAAAUAAGUAUGCAGCUAAAGAAAAGAGUAGAAUUGUAAAUUAUAGAAAGAACAUACCAAAUAGGAGGAAAAAUGAAGGAAUCUACCACAAGACAAAGAUGGUGUUGUCAAAAAAUAUGAAAGCUAAUACUAUGAGAGGAGACAAAAUAAAAAUGGGAUGAAAAAUGAAAGAGAAUACAAAUGGAAAGUUUUUAUACUCUAGGAAAUUUGUCAUAGCAGAUCAGAUUUGCAGCAUUAUUACAAAUGGAUUAUUAAAUUCAUGGUGACACUAUUCUAUUUCUAAAACUUCUGUAAAAAGUAAGGCAUUAACAGGGAAACUAGAUACAAUUUACUUUUGCAUCUUCCCAAUUAGGAAAGAAAUUUCCAAUAAGCACUUCCCCUUUUACUUCCAGUUGUGUUUCAUCUUGAUUCAUUGCACAACCUAAUGAUGAUCUCUCUGAUUUGAAAUCAAAAAAUACUUGGUUUGUAUAGCUUUGUUAAUAUUUUACAUCAUUAAAAAUUAGUACAGUAUCAUUGUUUAUUGCGUUUCUAUUUGUAUUUAUUCAAUGAUGAUGAGCACUGCCAAGCCAAUCAUUUCUUGUGUAAAAUUGAGAAUAAAUGAAGGGGAAAAUAUGGUACAGAUUCAUAGCAAUGCUAAUCAUCAAUUAAAUUAUAAGUAAUUCAACUUACAGUAUCUUAACAUUUGCACUUCUUACUUUCAUUAAAAUUCCAAAUUUGCACCUGCAGCUUGCAUUUAUAAUAGAAUACAGCAGAAAAGAUGUGUGUCAUUUCAAAACAUAUACAGUACAUUUGUAACUCUUUGAUAGUUGGCAACUAUUGCUUAAAUUGAAUAUAUCUCUCAUCACUUGUUAUUACUGUUAUAACAAAAAUAAUUCAUAAAGAAAAAUAUUUUUUUAGUUAAGAAUUUUCAA
This 1027-nucleotide long non-coding RNA is filed under the name Androctonus crassicauda. Lineage: Eukaryota; Metazoa; Arthropoda; Arachnida; Scorpiones; Buthidae. The record is from RNAcentral.